Molecule: non-coding RNA, 161 nt
Filed under: Aplanochytrium sp. PBS07
Lineage: Eukaryota; Bigyra; Thraustochytrida; Thraustochytriidae
Source: RNAcentral
AGUCAUGCGAGCAGGACUGUCUCGAGUAGUCCGACGAGGAGAUAAGUAUAUAUUUGACCCCGAUAAACGAUGAGGAGACGGCACAGAUUUAUGGGGGGAUUGAAUCCAUACAGCAGCAUUUGUUGCAUAUCCAGGAGAUUGAGCGCUUUUUGUAGGAGUUU